Molecule: ribosomal RNA, 439 nt
Filed under: uncultured bacterium
Lineage: Bacteria
Description: partial 16S ribosomal RNA
Rfam family: Bacterial small subunit ribosomal RNA
Source: RNAcentral
CUACGGGGUGCUGCAGUGGGGAAUCUUAGACAAUGGGGGCAACCCUGAUCUAGCCAUGCCGCGUGAGUGAUGAAGGCCUUAGGGUUGUAAAGCUCUUUCAGCUGGGAAGAUAAUGACGGUACCAGCAGAAGAAGCCCCGGCUAACUCCGUGCCAGCAGCCGCGGUAAUACGGAGGGGGCUAGCGUUGUUCGGAAUUACUGGGCGUAAAGCGCACGUAGGCGGACUGGAAAGUCAGAGGUGAAAUCCCAGGGCUCAACCUUGGAACUGCCUUUGAAACUAUCAGUCUGGAGUUCGAGAGAGGUGAGUGGAAUUCCAAGUGUAGAGGUGAAAUUCGUAGAUAUUCGGAGGAACACCAGUGGCGAAGGCGGCUCACUGGCUCGAUACUGACGCUGAGGUGCGAAAGCGUGGGGAGCAAACAGGAUUAGAUACCCGUGUAGUC